CCCUUAGAUGUUCUGGGCCGCACGCGCGCUACACUGACGAAUGCAACGAGCUUAUAACCUUGGCCGAAAGGUCUGGGUAAUCUCCAAAUUUCGUCGUGAUGGGGAUAGAUUAUGGCAAUUAUUAAUCUUCAACGAGGAAUGCCUAGUAAGCGCAAGUCAUCAGCUUGCGUUGAUUACGUCCCUGCCCUUUGUACACACCGCCCGUCGCUCCUACCGAUUGAAUGGUCCGGUGAAGCGUUCGGACCGUGGCCUUUGGACGGUUCGCCGUCUGUUGGCUGCGGGAAGUUCGUUAAACCUUAUCAUUUAGAGGAAGGAGAAGUCGUAACA
Molecule: ribosomal RNA, 327 nt
Filed under: uncultured eukaryote
Lineage: Eukaryota
Description: partial 18S ribosomal RNA
Rfam family: Eukaryotic small subunit ribosomal RNA
Source: RNAcentral